ACGAAGUUANCCGGGGCUUCUUCUACGGUUACCGUCAUUAUCUUCACCGUUGAAAGAGCUUUACAACCCUAGGGCCUUCAUCACUCACGCGGCAUGGCUGGAUCAGGCUUGCGCCCAUUGUCCAAUAUUCCCC
RNAcentral lists this ribosomal RNA (133 nucleotides) under uncultured bacterium. RNAcentral's name for it is "partial 16S ribosomal RNA". The record is from RNAcentral.